This 552-nucleotide ribosomal RNA is filed under the name uncultured bacterium. Its description in RNAcentral is "bacterial SSU rRNA". It matches the Rfam family "Bacterial small subunit ribosomal RNA", at positions 368 to 917 of the family's 1533-position model. The record is from RNAcentral.
UCACCUGUCGCAGUCUGAUCAGCUAUGCCGCGUGCAGUGAUGACGGCCCUAUGGGUUGUAAACUGCUUUUAUACGGGAAGAAAUGACCCACGUGUCGGAGAUUGACCGUACUGUACCAAUAAGGAUCGGCUAACUCCGUGCCAGCAGCCGCGGUAAUACGGAGGAUCCGAGCGUUAUCCGGAAUCAUUGGGUUUAAAGGGUCCGUAGGCGGUUUUUUAAGUCACAGGUGAAAUCCUGCAGCUCAACUGUAAAAUUGCCUUUGAUACUGAGAGACUUGAGUUAUUGUGAAGUGGUUAAAAUGUGUGGUGUAUCGGUGAAAUGCAUAUAUAUCACGCAGAAUACCGAUUGCGAACGCAGAUCACUAACCGUAUACUGACGCUGAGGGACGAAAGCGUGGGUAGCGAACAGGAUUACAUACCCUGGUAGUCCACGCCGUAAACGAUGGAUACUAUCUGUUGGUCUACUUCCGGAUUAUGUAUUCCCCCUGGAAAGUGCUAACUCACCCAUCUGGGGAAUACGAAUUGACGGUUGAAAAUUGAAGGAAUUGACGGG